Rattus norvegicus (Norway rat) is the source of this 628-nucleotide non-coding RNA. The record is from RefSeq and is a predicted model, not a curated record. Lineage: Eukaryota; Metazoa; Chordata; Mammalia; Rodentia; Muridae.
UCGCAAGCGCUGUCACCGCCCUCGACGGUAGCCCCGCCCCGGCCCACCCCCUGCGGGCCGGUCCCAGCUUCCGUCCUUGCCCCUCGCCAGGGUCCUUGCCGCCACCUCUCUGGUCUGAAAGUCUGGGCGGGAUGCGCCCCAGCCCGCAUCCUUCCCUCCUCUACCCGCCUUCCCUGUCCUGGGCUCUCUCGGGAGGCGGCGCCCCUUCUGCCUGCGGCCUGACAUACCAGGAAUAGCUGCACACAAUUGCACCUUUCCGGGCCAAGAAACUUCCCCCGUGGGGACGCAGAGCCGCCUGGCCUCCCCGCCACUACCCUCCGGCUCCACUAAGCCGGCUGACCGGUCCCAGACGCUGCGCGGUCCCCGUCAACGCCCCGGCUUCCGGCCGCAGCAAAAUAAGUAACUAAUACAUGCCCCGGAGCCUGGAGCUUGAUACUUCACCGUGGAGACAGCUGCCCAGGAUGCGAAGUGCACAGACCUGGGAAGCUGAACAACUUAUGUUACCGUUACCAGAUCUCCAGUAUCAUCGUCCGAAAAGUGUGGAAUAAGAAACAUCUCGGAAGGAUUGAUUUAUAAUAAUUAGAUAUGAUGGUGGUUGUAAAGGCCAAUGAGUAUAUUUACCACAAAA